RNAcentral lists this non-coding RNA (23 nucleotides) under Arabidopsis thaliana (thale cress). Lineage: Eukaryota; Viridiplantae; Streptophyta; Magnoliopsida; Brassicales; Brassicaceae. The record is from RNAcentral.
UGGUCACAACGUUUCUUCGGGUA